This 1099-nucleotide long non-coding RNA is filed under the name Brassica napus (rape). RNAcentral describes it as "long non-coding RNA (BNAP_LNC017954)". The record is from RNAcentral. Lineage: Eukaryota; Viridiplantae; Streptophyta; Magnoliopsida; Brassicales; Brassicaceae.
UCCAGACCUGUAAUGACUCCAAAAGGACUAGGAAGACUCGAUAAAGACUUGAAAACCAAUUUAAAAGCAUAUAUACAAGAUGUAUAAAACACCAUAUAUCAAUUCCCCCAGACUUAGAUCCUUGUUUGUCCUCAAACAAUGUCAAGUAUCAAGAACAGGGAGAAAGGUUUGAAAGUGUGGGAACUCUCCUAUUCUCAGCAACCAUACUUUAACCACGAAUCUCUGAACCAUACAAGCAGUAAAACUAGGACAACACACCCUUACUGGAACCCCACUGACUGCUGUUCAAAAAUCGGCUCCAUACUCUUCAUCUCAAACCUGAAAAAGCAACACUAUCGAGACAGAACUCCCUACAUUCAUUUAAGAGUAGCGUGAGCUUCUCAUCACAGGCAUCAUUCAGGGUAUAGGUCUAGGUGUGGAACAGGCUAUUUAAUGGUGGAUUUAAAAGUGUUUAGGGGCUACCAUUUCAUUGAAGAGGAUGCAUGAUAUCACACAAAAUGACAAGAGAGGAUAGAUCCAUUGAUGUCCACAGCCUCUACUCGUUUUUGCUCUAUCUGAUGCGACUGUUCUGAUGACGGAAUAGACAACUGAUUGUUCUGCGUUCCACUUUCCUUUUGGUACCCACUCCUUUGCUCGAUCUUUCCAGUGGCUCAUAUUUCUUUGUUCUCAUCCCCUUCUCCAUCACCUUAUUUUGGUUUUUUUUUUUUUUUUGAAGACUGAUAUGGUGAUGUAACAAAGAAGGAGGUCAUACAUGAUGGUUCUGAGUGUCACUGGUGGUUCUGAUUUCGCAACCAUCCUGGUUCUCCACCCCUGCUCUUGCGCAGUUCAUUGGUUAUGGAGCGGUUGCUCCCUUAAUCUGCUUGUUCUCCUUUCUACCAUAAUUUCUGGAGCAGUAACGAGUAGGCGGCUGCGUUGAUUCUUUCCUCUCCGACCUUUUUGCACAUAUCUGCACAUAUGACACUGAAAAACAAAUGCAUGAAGGUGGAAUAAAGGCUAAGGUGCAGGGUGGGAACUAGCUAAAGAUGAGCUAGCCACUCAGGAUCAGCAAGAUGAAUAAAAAGGAUAAGAAGUCCUGAGUGUGUUCUCGUUUCCCUGAUCU